GAUGAACGCUAGCUACAGGCUUAACACAUGCAAGUCGAGGGACCGGCGCACGGGUGAGUAACGCGUAUCCAACCUUCCCAUUACUGUGGGAUAACCUGCCGAAAGGCAGACUAAUACCGCAUAGUAAUGGAUGGGGAUGCGUCUGAUUAGCUUGUUGGCGGGGUAACGGCCCACCAAGUCAACGAUCAGGAGGGGUUCUGAGAGCAAGGUCCCCCACAUUGGAACUGGGAUACUGUCCAAACUCCUCAGGGAGGCAGCAGUGUGGAAUAUUGGUCAAUGUGCGUUAGCCUGAACCAGCCAAGUAGCGUGAAGGAUGAAGGCUUAUGGGUCGUAAACUUCUUUUAUAUAAGAAUCUGUAUUAUAUGAAUAAGGAUCGGCUAACUCCGUGCCAGCAGCCGCGGUAAUAC
RNAcentral lists this ribosomal RNA (407 nucleotides) under uncultured bacterium. RNAcentral describes it as "partial 16S ribosomal RNA". It matches the Rfam family "Bacterial small subunit ribosomal RNA", at positions 28 to 526 of the family's 1533-position model. The record is from RNAcentral.